AUUAAGCAUUGCUUUGCUUGUCGGCUAUUAGUAAUGUAAACUUGACAUGUAGAGUGCUCAGAUUAUCAACACGCGCCUGUUGAGCGCACUUCGCUUCGUUGAUUCUUAUCUAAGUGCUGGGCUCUGUGAUUUCGCUGCCAAUCUUAAUAAGUGAUUAGAUAAAGUGGCCGAGUGAAACACUGAAAAUUAAAGUGUCUUCUUUUAACUAAUUCGCGCCUUUAUAUGCAUCUGUUUUUAUUAUUUGGUAUUCAUAUUUUGGCUUUAUGUGCAUACAACCAUUUAUAUCGCGCUGACAAGGCUAAAUGUUAGAUGACAAAACGUCGGUGACAUUAAUCAAUGGCUAUACAUCUUGUUGACCGGUUUGUUGAUAAACACUAACAAAUAUGUGUGGGUAUGUGGUAUGAGUGUUGGUAAAUUCGUAAGGGCAUCACUAGGUGCCUUGUGAGAAAUUGCAGCGAGUGUUAGCGAGCACUCCAGAAAAUUCAGGAAAGUGUUAUUAUAAACAUUUUUUCAGAGAAUUUAAUCUAAUCUCGGACUUUUAUCUUGUGUACUGGCUGAUAACAUUAACAAAUCUUAACUUGAUUUUAGAUAUUUAUUUCCAAAAGAUUCUUUUCAAGAUUGUUAAACAUUUUUACAAGACAAUUUGCUAAAGUAUAUAGAAUUGUAUGCCUCCAAAAAAUACGUAUAAUAUAUAUAUAUAUAUAUAGAUAUAUAAAUAGAAUUAAGAUCUGUAGAGAAUUACGGUGUUGAAGUAAAAGUAUUAUUUAGGAGUUGAUUGUUUGUGAAUUAUUUGCCAGAAAUCAUACGAAACUGUGCCCCAGCAAAUUUUUUUUUAUACUUCUUAAAAGAAAAAAAAAAAAACAAUAGCUUAAUUCUGAGUAUGCAAUUAUGUUUAUUAAUGCUUUAUUUGCUCAUAGUACAGUUAGUAUUAGUCCACUAUGCAGAUCGGGUCGAUUCAUAGGAAAUAGGUAUAUGUGCAAAAUGAUCUCGACUAUUUGAAUUAUAAAAAACAACUAAUGAUGUAAGCAAUAAUUGAAAAAUAAUUUCAUGUAUAUAAAAACAACAACUAACUUUCAUUUUAGUUAAAAAUGUGACUUGGAAUAGAUUGGAAUGAAAUAGAAUUUCGACUGAGGAACAUGCAUCCUUUUUCGAAAAAUACAAAUUCUAAGAAGUAGAGUUUCAAAAAUUAAUAUUUUGUGAUGAUAAAACAUUAAAUUUAUAUGGAUAAUAAGUAUUGGAGGGAUCUACGGCACCCUCGGCAUACUUACUAUAAGCGCAAACAUGGCGGUGGAUCUCUAAUGAUGUGGGCUGCUCUUAGCGCCAAAGAGAAGUCUCCCAUUUGCCUUGUCCCGAGUCGUAUGAAAGCAAAAUAUAUAUGGAAUUGCUGGACAGUGAAUUUAUCACGUAUGCUGAGACAAAUCAUGGCAAUAACUUGGUGUUGCAGCAGGAUAACGCGCUUAUCCAAGUCGCAGGGUAUAAUAAAGCCUUUUUUGAGCCGCGUAAUAUUCCCUAACUUCGGUGUCCGUAAUUCAGUCUAGAACUGAAUUUAAUAGAGGAUUUAUGGGACAUACUUUCCGCAAUAUUUUUUAGCUGAACAAAGCGGUAUGACAGCUAAAACAAGCCAUUGAGGAGGAACGGGCGAAGAUAAACGUUUCAGUACUGUAAAAGUUGGCCACUUUUAUGACAAAUUCGCUAAUACUUUUGAAUAACAAGGGGGCCCAAUUUCAUAUUACUAAAUCGAAAAUAUUUCAUUCAAAUUGUUAACUAUUUAAAAGUUAAUAUUUAACUAAAAAUUUUAAUUUUGAACAAAUAGCUAUUUUCUAUGGUAUAAAAUUAAGUUUAAUUAAUUUGGUUACUUUUUCUUUUAGCAUGGUAUAUGUUUUUGUUUCUUUAAAUACUACUGACUAACAUCUAACAAAAAAAAAACAUGAAUAAAAUAUGCAAAGGUUGAAUAAAAAUUUAGAGAAAUAACAGUACACAAAUAUCAACUUUCCUGAGGUAUAUUCACCAGACAUGAUUCCGUGUGACUUUUUCCUCUUUUUAAAAAUAAAGAGAACCUUAAAAUGCCGUCGUUUUACAGAUAUACAAAAAGCCAUAGGCUAUCGAGUUCUUCGACGAUUGGAAGAAGCGCUGACAUAAGUGGAUAAUAUCGAAUGGGGACUCUUUUAAUUUGGACGAAUGAAUAAAUAUUUUAAUCAAAAAACGAAAAUUCCCUUUAUUUUUUGAACACAUCUCAUAUUUUCCGAUUCCGCUUAAAAAUAUUACGCUAGGUUAUAAUUAAUGGUCAAAUUUAGUCGAAAUAUUUGCUUAGGUACCUUUAUCAGUUUGGGAGGUAAAGAAUUUCAGGGAAAAAACUUCCAGACUUCAUUUAAAUGGCCGCCCAGGUGUGCUCCCAAAAUUUUAUGUGUUUUCUUAAAUACUUAAAAAUAGAAAUAUCGACAUACUACUUAAUACUAACUUUCCAGUAGAUUUGAUUUACAGAUGCAGUAUUCAUAAAUCAUUUACCCGCUUGAUUGGAGAGCAAUUAUACCAGCAUUAACCUUAAGUCCAUCAAGUGAUAAUAUUUUACGUCUUCGAGAAAAUUAAUUAGAAUAUUUCGAUGGAUAAACAGAAGUAGUUUCUUUAUAAUGAGGAUAAAUUGUUUACUGUGAAUUUUAAUGCUGGAGAUUCAUUUUGUCAAAUUUAGUGACCAAAAAUAUUAUGUAAAUUGCAAACAGUAAAAUUUCGAUUUGAAAGUGUUUUUACUAUAUAAAGACAAAUUGUAGACAAAUUGUACAGAGAGAGAGAAUUAUUAUUCAAAUGACAGCAAACUGUUAAUACCAAUUUGAUUGACAAGCCCAAAUUGAAAAUUUCUUCCUUCUUUCAAAACGUUUCUCAAUUUGGGUCAAAAGGUGUUCUAAUAAAUUUCCAUAAUUUGUCACACCUUUCUAUGAAAGUAAAAUGUCAACCAUUUUCAUUAUUUUGACUACCAUGCCAUUGAAUUUGACGCAGUGUAAACCACACCUAACCACGCUCAAAAUUAGGGACACACAUUUUUGAUUUGCAUUAAUUAUUUCUUUAUUAUUGUUAUAUAAUAGUAUUAACUAGGUACGUAUAUAUAUAUAUGUGUGUG
Zeugodacus cucurbitae (melon fly) is the source of this 3112-nucleotide long non-coding RNA. RefSeq lists it as uncharacterized. The transcript is spliced from 2 exons. The record is from RefSeq and is a predicted model, not a curated record. NCBI's taxonomy places the organism in Eukaryota, Metazoa, Arthropoda, Insecta, Diptera, Tephritidae.